Molecule: non-coding RNA, 73 nt
Organism: Stegodyphus mimosarum
Lineage: Eukaryota; Metazoa; Arthropoda; Arachnida; Araneae; Eresidae
Source: Rfam
GCCUUCGUGUUGUAAUUGGAAGCUUACUUGACUCGUAUUCGAGAGGUCCAGAGUUCGAGUCCCGGCGAAGGCA